Molecule: ribosomal RNA, 580 nt
Filed under: uncultured bacterium
Lineage: Bacteria
Description: bacterial SSU rRNA
Rfam family: Bacterial small subunit ribosomal RNA
Source: RNAcentral
AGACGAUGGGGAUGCGUUCCAUUAGAUAGUAGGCGGGGUAACGGCCCACCUAGUCUUCGAUGGAUAGGGGUUCUGAGAGGAAGGUCCCCCACAUUGGAACUGAGACACGGUCCAAACUCCUACGGGAGGCAGCAGUGAGGAAUAUUGGUCAAUGGGCGAGAGCCUGAACCAGCCAAGUAGCGUGAAGGAUGACUGCCCUAUGGGUUGUAAACUUCUUUUAUAAAGGAAUAAAGUCGGGUAUGGAUACCCGUUUGCAUGUACUUUAUGAAUAAGGAUCGGCUAACUCCGUGCCAGCAGCCGCGGUAAUACGGAGGAUCCGAGCGUUAUCCGGAUUUAUUGGGUUUAAAGGGAGCGUAGAUGGAUGUUUAAGUCAGUUGUGAAAGUUUGCGGCUCAACCGUAAAAUUGCAGUUGAUACUGGAUAUCUUGAGUGCAGUUGAGGCAGGCGGAAUUCGUGGUGUAGCGGUGAAAUGCUUAGAUAUCACGAAGAACUCCGAUUGCGAAGGCAGCUUGCUAAGCUGCAACUGACAUUGAGGCUCGAAAGUGUGGGUAUCAAACAGGAUUAGAUACCCUGGUAGUCCA